RNAcentral lists this ribosomal RNA (2839 nucleotides) under Ignavibacteria bacterium UBA7675. RNAcentral describes it as "bacterial LSU rRNA". It matches the Rfam family "Bacterial large subunit ribosomal RNA". The record is from RNAcentral. Lineage: Bacteria; Pseudomonadati; Ignavibacteriota; Ignavibacteria.
UAAAGGGCAUACGGUGGAUGCCUUGGCACAGAUAGGCGAAGAAGGACGUGGUAACCUGCGAAAAGCUUCGGGGAGCUGGAAACGAGCUUUGAUCCGGAGAUGUCCGAAUGGGGCAACCCACUGCGAGUCAUGUCGCAGUACCCUGCAAAGGGAGCAAACCCUGGGAACUGAAACAUCUAAGUACCGGGAGGAGAAGAAAACAAACGUGAUUUCCUGAGUAGUGGCGAGCGAAACGGAAAGAGCCUAAACCGACUUCUUUAGGAGUCGGGGUUGUAGGACCUCAGAACGCUACUUCGCGUGAUAGUAGAACGGCAUGGAAAGGCCGGCCAGAGAAGGUGAGAGCCCUGUAAACGAAAUCACAAAGAGAGCAAGAGGGAUCCUGAGUACCGCGGAGCAGGUGAAAUUCUGCGGGAAUCUGCCGGAACCAUCCGGUAAGGCUAAAUACUCAUCUGUGACCGAUAGUGAACAAGUACCGUGAGGNNNNNNNNNNNNNNNGUGAGGGAAAGGUGAAAAGCACCCUUCAGAAGGGAGUGAAAUAGUACCUGAAACCGUAUGCUUACAAACGGUGGGAGCGAGUCAUUGGCUACGGCUGAUGAGGAGUGACCGCGUGCCUUUUGCUUAAUGAGCCAACGAGUUACUCGUCACAUGCAAGGGUAAGGUUUUGAGAACCGCACCCGCAGCGAAAGCGAGUCUGAAUAGGGCGUAUAGUAUGUGGCGGUAGACGCGAAACCGUGUGAUCUAUCCAUGGCCAGGAUGAAGCGCGGGUAACACCGCGUGGAGGUCCGAACCGGUGCGGGUUGAAAACUGCUCGGAUGAGCUGUGGAUAGGGGUGAAAGGCCAAUCAAACUCGGAGAUAGCUCGUACUCCCCGAAAUGUUUUUAGGAACAGCCUUGUGUUAGUCUGCCGGAGGUAGGACCCUGAUAGGGCUAGGGCCGUCACAACGGUACCAAACCCUGAUAAAUUACAAAUACCGGACAGAUGAUGCGCAGGAGUGAGGCAGUGAGGGAUAAGCUUCAUUGCCGAGAGGGAAACAACCCAGACCAUCGAUUAAGGCCCCCAAGUGUAUGCUAACAGAGAAAGGAAGUUGAGUUGCUGUGACAACCAGGAUGUUGGCUUAGAAGCAGCCAUUCAUUUAAAGAGUGCGUAAUAGCUCACUGGUCAAGCGACUCGGCGCCGAUAAUAAUCGGGACUAAAGCAUGCCGCCGAAGUCAUGGACUUCAGUAAUGGAGUGGUAGGGGAGCAUUCUAUAUGCGUUGAAGGUGCUGGGGCGACCCGUGCUGGAGCGUAUAGAAGAGCAAAUGUUGGCAUAAGUAACGAGAAAACAAGUGAGAAUCUUGUUCGCCGAAAGUCUAAGGUUUCCUGAGCUACGUUCGUCGACUCAGGGUUAGUCGGCCCCUAAGGUGAGGCUGAGAAGCGUAACUGAUGGGAAGCAGGCAAUUUGCAAUAUUCCUGCACCGCCAAAGAUGUUAAACAGAGGGACGCAGAAAGGUAGCUUCACCGGCUUAAUGGCUAUUCCGGUGAGGUCAACUACGCUGCCGAGAAAAGCUCUGUGUAUUGUCAAGGCGACCGUACCGCAAACCGACACAGGUAGACGGGUAGAAUAUACUCAGGCGCGCGUGUGAGCCGUGGUUAAGGAACUCGGCAAAUUAACCCCGUAACUUCGGGAGAAGGGGUGCCGCAGCAAUGCGGCCGCAGUGAAAAGGUCCAAGCGACUGUUUAACAAAAACACAUCUCUCUGCAAACUCGAAAGAGGAAGUAUAGGGAGUGACACCUGCCCGGUGCCGGAAGGUUAAGAGGAGAGGUCAAUCCGCAAGGGUGAAGCUUUGAAUCGAAGCCCCGGUAAACGGCGGCCGUAACUAUAACGGUCCUAAGGUAGCGAAAUUCCUUGUCGGGUAAGUUCCGACCUGCACGAAUGGUGUAACGAUUUGGACACUGUCUCAACCACGGGCUCGGUGAAAUUGUGGUUCCGGUGAAGACGCCGGAUACCCGCAUAUGGACGGAAAGACCCCGUGCACCUUUACUAUAACUUAUCAUUGGGUUCGGCUAAAACAUGCGUAGGAUAGGUGGGAGGCUAUGAACCGGGAUCUUCGGGUUCUGGGGAGCCACUGGUGAAAUACCACCCUUGUUUUAGCUGGAUUCUAACCUGGUGGUGUGUAACCAUAGGGACAGUGGUAGGCGGGUAGUUUGACUGGGGCGGUCGCCUCCUAAAAAGUAACGGAGGCUCUCAAAGGUUCCCUCAGCACGGUUGGUAAUCGUGCCUCGAGUGUAAAGGCAGAAGGGAGCUUGACUGCGAGACAGACAAGUCGAGCAGGUGCGAAAGCAGGACUUAGUGAUCCGGCGGCACUGAAUGGAAGGGCCGUCGCUCAAAGGAUAAAAGGUACGCCGGGGAUAACAGGCUGAUCUUCCCCAAGAGUCCACAUCGACGGGAAGGUUUGGCACCUCGAUGUCGGCUCAUCGCAUCCUGGGGCUGGAGAAGGUCCCAAGGGUUCGGCUGUUCGCCGAUUAAAGCGGUACGUGAGCUGGGUUCAGAACGUCGUGAGACAGUUCGGUCCCUAUCCUAUGCGGGCGGAGGAUACUUGAGGGGUCUCGUUCUUAGUACGAGAGGACCGGAAUGACCGGACCGACGGUGAAUCUGUUGUUACGCCAGUAGCAUUGCAGAGUAGCCAUGUCCGGAAAGGAUAAGUGCUGAAUGCAUCUGAAGCACGAAACCUGCCCCAAGAUGAGGUAUCCCAGCAGAAAUGCUCUAAGGACCCAAGGAGAUGACUUGGUUGAUAGGCUUUACGUGGAAGUGUAGUAAUACAUGCAGCGGAGAAGUACUAAUAGUCCGAGAGGCUUAUCA